RNAcentral lists this ribosomal RNA (155 nucleotides) under uncultured bacterium. Its description in RNAcentral is "partial 16S ribosomal RNA". It matches the Rfam family "Bacterial small subunit ribosomal RNA", at positions 355 to 507 of the family's 1533-position model. The record is from RNAcentral.
UGAGGAAUAUUGGUCAAUGGGCGCAAGCCUGAACCAGCCAUGCCGCGUGCAGGACGACGCAUCUAUGGUGUGUAAACUGCUUUUAUACAGGAAGAAACCCUACCACGCGUGGUAGAUUGACGGUACUGUAGGAAUAAGGAUCGGCUAACUCCGUG